This is a long non-coding RNA of Ictalurus punctatus (channel catfish), 1302 nucleotides long. Lineage: Eukaryota; Metazoa; Chordata; Actinopteri; Siluriformes; Ictaluridae. The record is from Ensembl.
CCGUCUGUCACUGAAGUACGUUUUAAAUUUCAGCGCACGCACAAUCGUUCGAUUCGUCAUCGUUUGAAUUAAAACGCUGAUAUACGGUAUAUGAAUGAACCUCCCCCCCACACUAUAUUAGAAUUGUUCACAUUUCUCUAAUAAUUUGUUUAAAAAUUUGUGAAAAAUGAUGGUAGAAGAAAUUUUAAUCUCUCAGUUUUGACUAAAAACCUCUGUAAAAAAAAAAAUUGCACUCGUUGAAGUGUACAAUAAAAGGUUUCUGCUUGGAGCCAUGAUUUUAUGCAGGUCGUUCGAGAAGCACACCACGACGUCAGCGCUGCCUCUUGUUAAAACCCCCAUACUGUGUAUGCCAUUAGUGCUUAAUGUACGUUUGAAAGGAAUCGAGAAUGUAACUCUUUAGAAAAGUGUUUUAUUUCUACUGCAUGGCGAGAAGUUGUAGAUUUGUAGUGGGCUACUGGUUGAUAUAUGAGAAAGGAUCCAGUCCCGGUGUUGUUCUAAUCACGUCAGUGAUGUCAGGUGGAAAAGAUGGCUUACUUCCUCACUCGUUGCCAGGAGCAGAGAGCAGCACUGCACAGCCCAUUCUUUAAGCCUCUCUCUGUACGAAAUUCGGCUUGUUUAUUUGUUCACCUUCUCCAGAGUGCUUUAUUUCAGGUGGUUUUUGUCAUGCCAGCAAACACUCUCAACCUCGACGUUGCUGUAAAUGGGAGACAGUUUGGGCGAUGUUUGCUUCUUUGUUCAUGUUCAGUCAGAACACUGCGUUUGGCCUCAGGCUGGCAGUCCUACAUGCAAACGCGGUCCUCGUCUUUAACCUUCGUUUGACAGUAAAAAUCAAAUCGCUUUCUUUUGUUUACUGCACUCAUACAGACGUACCGAAUCAAGAGUGACUGUGCCACGUCCAAUAAUGUCUGAGUAACAGAGUCACGACAUGGGAGAGAAAGAAGUAUGUUUCUAAUAAGUCAUUCAUUUCAUUAGAUCAUUUCAGCCAUCUAAGCCCAGUUAAAGUCUCCAGUGUUUCCAAUGUACCUGCAUGACUUAUGUGUUUUUCUGUGUAGUUACGGUUUAAAAACCCCGAUCCAAAAUAACUGGCUGAUUCCAAAAAGCUCUCUCAACACGACUAGUGUAGGUGUAAUACCGGAUGAAACACCAAUGAAAAAUAACUAGCUCUCCAGCCCGCCUUCAUCAUUUCACGAUGGUGGGAAACGAAUCCUUUGGAUUUUGGACGUAGGGAUAAUCUGAAGCAUAAAACGUGGCGAGCACAUCACACGCGACACUCUCGCCAAACUUAUUAACGAAAUCAAAAAG